Capra hircus (goat) is the source of this 400-nucleotide non-coding RNA. NCBI's taxonomy places the organism in Eukaryota, Metazoa, Chordata, Mammalia, Artiodactyla, Bovidae. The record is from the annotation of a RefSeq genome assembly.
UUCAGGUGACACUCCAGAGAUGAGCUCUUCGCCAGGCUUAGUGACUGUGAUACUCUUAAUGCUUCGACAAACCCAUGGAAACUCAGUGACCCAGAUGGAUGGCCAAGUGAGUCGUUCCGAAGGGACUUCUGUGACUAUAAACUGCACUUAUUCAGCCGCUGGGUACCCUGCUCUUUUCUGGUAUGUCCAGUAUCCUGGAGAAGGUCCACAGCUCCUCCUGAAAGCCAUGAAGGCCAGUGACAAGGGAACCAACAAAGGUUUUGAAGCCACAUAUAAUACAGAAACUACCUCCUUCCACUUGGAGAAAGCCUCAGUGCAAGAGUCAGACUCGGCUGUGUACUACUGUGCUCUGAGUGACACAGUGACGGAAACUGCAGGGGGAGCUGAGCACAAACUCUGA